Molecule: ribosomal RNA, 407 nt
Filed under: uncultured bacterium
Lineage: Bacteria
Description: partial 16S ribosomal RNA
Rfam family: Bacterial small subunit ribosomal RNA
Source: RNAcentral
GACGAACGCUGGCGGCGUGCCUAAUACAUGCAAGUAGGACGCAGUUGCGAACGGGUGAGUAACGCGUAGGUAACUGCCUAUUAGAGGGGGAUAACUAUUGGAAACGAUAGCUAAUACCGCAUACUAGUAGAUGGACCUGCGUUGUUUUCGCUAGUAGGUAGGGUAAUGGCCUACCUAGGCGACGAUACAUAGCCGACCGGGUAGGGUGAACGGCCACACUGGGACUGAGACACGGGCCAGACUCCUACGGGAGGCAGCAGUAGGGAAUCUUCGGCAAUGGGGGGAACCCUGACCGAGCAACGCCGCGUGAGUGAAGAAGGUGUUCGGAUCGUAAAGCUCUGUUGUUAAGGAAGCGGUACUUAACCAGAAAGGGACGGCUAACUACGUGCCAGCCGCCGCGGUAAUUC